RNAcentral lists this ribosomal RNA (1324 nucleotides) under metagenome. RNAcentral's name for it is "bacterial LSU rRNA". It matches the Rfam family "Bacterial large subunit ribosomal RNA", at positions 1561 to 2925 of the family's 2925-position model. The record is from RNAcentral.
AGUGGAUGGGGAGCAACCUAGUUGUGCGUGUGUAAAGGUAGUGCCAAGAAAAGCGAUGAUCAUGUUGAAAAUCAAUUCCCGGUACCCGAAACCGACACAGGUGGGCAAGUAGAGAAUACUAAGGGGCGCGAGGUAACUCUCUCCAAGGAACUCGGCAAAAUGACCCCGUAACUUAGGGAGAAGGGGUGCCACCGAGAGGUGGUCGCAGUGAAGAGGCCCAGGCGACUGUUUAGCAAAAACAUAGGUCUCUGCAAACUCGAAAGAGGAGGUAUAGGGGCUGACGCCUGCCCAGUGCCGGAAGGUUAAAGAAGUUGGUCAGUCUUAGGAUGAAGCUAGCGACUGAAGCCCCGGUGAACGGCGGCCGUAACUAUAACGGUCCUAAGGUAGCGAAAUUCCUUGUCGGGUAAGUUCCGACCCGCACGAAAGGCGUAACGAUCUGGGCGCUGUCUCGGAGAGAGGCUCGGCGAAAUAGGAUUGUCUGUGAAGAUACGGACUACCUGCAUUUGGACAGAAAGACCCUAUGAAGCUUUACUAUAGCUUGGAAUUGUGUUCGGGCUUCCUGUGCGCAGGAUAGGUGGGAGGCGUAGAAGGUAUUCUUGUGGGGAUACUGGAGCCAACGGUGAGAUACCACUCUCAGGAGGCUAGAAUUCUAACUUAAUUAAGGACAGUUUCAGGUGGGUAGUUUGACUGGGGCGGUCGCCUCCAAAAAGGUAACGGAGGCGUACAAAGGUUCCCUCAGACUGGUUGGAAAUCAGUCGAAGAGUGCAAAGGCAGAAGGAGCUUGACUGCGAGAAGUACAGUUCGAGCAGGGUGGAAACACGGUCUUAGUGAUCCGACGGUGCUGUGUGGAAGGGCCGUCGCUCAACGGAUAAAAGUUACUCUAGGAUAACAGGCUGAUCUCCCCCAAGAGUUCACAUCGACGGGGAGGUUUGGCACCUCGAUGUCGGCUCAUCGCAACCUGGGGCGGAAGUACGUCCCAAGGGUUGGGCUGUUCGCCCAUUAAAGCGGUACGUGAGCUGGGUUCAGAACGUCGUGAGACAGUUCGGUCCAUAUCCGAUGUAGGCGUGAGAAUAUUGAGAGGAGCCUUCCUUAGUACGAGAGGACCGGGAAGGACGCACCGCUGGUGUACCUGUUAUGAUGCCAAUUGUAAACGCAGGGUAGCCAAGUGCGGAGAGGAUAACCGCUGAAAGCAUCUAAGUGGGAAGCCCACCUCAAGAUGAGUAUUCUGGUGUAAGGUCACGGGAAGACGACCCGUAAAUAGGCACGAGGUGGAAGUGCAGAGAUGUAUGAAGCCGAAGUGUACUAAUAGACCGUCGGCUUGACC